CCAAUGACGAAAACUACGCACUAGCAGCUUAAAAAUCUCUUAGGAGAAAUUUAAACCUGCUUAUCCCGGGGCGGAUGUGCCCAUGUAUCCAAACCGGGAGCUCGACUCAUGGGACCGCUGCCAAGCCCCGCUUGUGACGGAAGCAGUUAAACUUAAAGCAAGCUCGCCUUUCUAAUCCCUGUUCGCCGGGCCAGUGGAAGGUUAAAUAAUAGACGAAAUAAGCAUGUAGAGCCGAAGGCGGAGAACUGACGGACGCGGGUUCGAUUCCCGCCGCCUCCACCA
This 282-nucleotide transfer-messenger RNA is filed under the name Arenicellales bacterium. Its description in RNAcentral is "partial transfer-messenger RNA". It matches the Rfam family "transfer-messenger RNA", at positions 94 to 374 of the family's 374-position model. From Rfam's summary of the family: Bacterial tmRNA, also known as 10Sa RNA or SsrA, is named for its dual tRNA and mRNA-like properties. Its role is to liberate the mRNA from a stalled ribosome. To accomplish this part of the tmRNA is used as a reading frame that ends in a translation stop signal. Lineage: Bacteria; Pseudomonadati; Pseudomonadota; Gammaproteobacteria; Arenicellales. The record is from RNAcentral.